RNAcentral lists this long non-coding RNA (741 nucleotides) under Salmo salar (Atlantic salmon). RNAcentral describes it as "lncRNA (ENSSSAG00000093815.1)". The record is from RNAcentral. Lineage: Eukaryota; Metazoa; Chordata; Actinopteri; Salmoniformes; Salmonidae.
AACAAAAUCGUCAGGCGCGUGCCAGCAGCUGACGUCUCCAGUCCGGCGCUGAAGCCUGUCUCCAUAUUCUGACAAGACUUAGGGAUUUCUGGGAAGGAGGCUAUCGAGGUUGGGACUUUGGAGAGAGAGAAGUAUAGAGAGGCACUUUGUAAAGGCGUCACAUCGAUCAGAGCCUGAAGUCGCAGUCCAGGAGCUUGUCAAACCCUUCAACGCAUCACAUCAGUCCCAGACCAGGAGCUGUGACUCAGCUUCCAUUCACAUUAAUGGAAGCUUUCCAUGGAAGUUGGCAUCACUCGACACUGCGGCCGUGGGAUAGUGAACCAAUCAAAAGUGGAUUGAAGAGUAGCCUUUUCCCCGUAACCCAAUCAGCAUUGUGUAUACAUGAGCCACUCCCACACCCUGCCCUUACAUGGCACGGAGGACUGGCCAAGGUCUACUGAUGGAUGUAAAGGCUGCUAGUUCAGAGACAACAGAACCACAAUACCAAGACUACUACUACUACUAUUACUUAUACUACUACUACAGAAGCACAACUACCAAGAGUACUACUACAUAACCAGAAGGAUGGAAACAGCUACCGACUUGACUCUGGUAAGAUCCGAUUACUAAUCAUAAUUUUAGAUUAAAUCAAUGGACAUUGAAUGUAUCUAGCACAGUAACAUAUAUUUUUGUCCACAAUUUCAGAUUGAAUAGUGCUAGUUAUAGAUCGCACUGAUAUCAAAAUACGUAAUCCCCUCCAAU